This 213-nucleotide ribosomal RNA is filed under the name Triticum aestivum (bread wheat). RNAcentral describes it as "partial small subunit ribosomal RNA". The record is from RNAcentral. Lineage: Eukaryota; Viridiplantae; Streptophyta; Magnoliopsida; Poales; Poaceae.
AUGGCUGCUCAUGUUCAUGAUCUUGAGCAGAAGCUGGAGAGGUCGGAGCUUCAAGCAGAAGUGAUGCAAGAACAAUUGGCGGCAAUCAAGAUGAAGGUGGAAGAAGCUGAAGCUGCACGCGACAAGGAACUUGAGCUGCUGCGCAAGAAGUCUCAAGAGCAGGAUGAGAAGUUAGCCCACUUGAUGGCUCUCUUUGGAGCUAAGGUAGUUUGA